CCGGGGAACUCCUGGAAUAAAGUCGUCCGAACCAGGUCAGGACAGGAAUGUAGCAGCCUUUAGGACACCCCUUUAUGCCAAGAGCACUCUCCGGCUU
RNAcentral lists this signal recognition particle RNA (97 nucleotides) under Chlamydiales bacterium. Its description in RNAcentral is "signal recognition particle sRNA small type". It matches the Rfam family "Bacterial small signal recognition particle RNA". From Rfam's summary of the family: The signal recognition particle (SRP) is a universally conserved ribonucleoprotein involved in the co-translational targeting of proteins to membranes. The record is from RNAcentral. Lineage: Bacteria; Pseudomonadati; Chlamydiota; Chlamydiia; Chlamydiales.